CGACUUUCUCCCCCUUCUUCACCUCCCAGCUGACGUCUCUUAACACUGUCACCCCCUUGUAGCUCUUGGUGAUGUUUUCGAGGCGGACGCCAGAGGAGACGCUGGAGGCGCCGGCGCCACUGUUGGACUUCUUCUUGCUCUGGUUUUUCGACGGGGUUUCGGAGAAGAGGGAUUCGAUGUAGGUUUCGGUUUCGGCGUCGGCGACGACGACGGGGACGGCGGAGGCUCUGGGGGGCCUGGUUCUUGGGGCGAUUGGCUUUAGGGCUAGAGAGAGCAGGGUUCGGAUUCGCCGGGGUUGGGAGGGGGUUGGGG
Molecule: unclassified non-coding RNA, 312 nt
Filed under: Hevea brasiliensis (rubber tree)
Lineage: Eukaryota; Viridiplantae; Streptophyta; Magnoliopsida; Malpighiales; Euphorbiaceae
Source: RNAcentral